CUCGUGUCGUGAGAUGUUCGGUUAAGUCCGGCAACGAGCGCAACCCACAUCUUUAGUUGCCAGCAGUUCGGCUGGGCACUCUAAAGAAACUGCCCGUGAUAAGCGGGAGGAAGGUGUGGAUGACGUCAAGUCCUCAUGGCCCUUACGGGUUGGGCUACACACGUGCUACAAUGGUAGUGACAGUGAGUUAAUCUCCAAAAGCUAUCUCAGUUCGGAUUGGGGUCUGCAACUCGACCCCAUGAAGUCGGAAUCGCUAGUAAUCGCGUAACAGCAUGACGCGGUGAAUACGUUCCCGGGCCUUGUACACACCGCCCGUCACACCAUGGGAGUUGGUUCUACCUGACGGCCGUGCGCUAACCUUCGGGAGGCAGCGGACCACGGUAGGAUCAGCGACUGGGGUGAAGUCGUAACAAGGUAACCGUAAAGGGCGA
This 431-nucleotide ribosomal RNA is filed under the name uncultured Alphaproteobacteria bacterium. RNAcentral describes it as "bacterial SSU rRNA". It matches the Rfam family "Bacterial small subunit ribosomal RNA", at positions 1059 to 1512 of the family's 1533-position model. The record is from RNAcentral. Lineage: Bacteria; Pseudomonadati; Pseudomonadota; Alphaproteobacteria.